This 490-nucleotide ribosomal RNA is filed under the name uncultured bacterium. RNAcentral's name for it is "partial 16S ribosomal RNA". It matches the Rfam family "Bacterial small subunit ribosomal RNA", at positions 30 to 507 of the family's 1533-position model. The record is from RNAcentral.
AUUGAACGCUGGCGGCAGGCCUAACACAUGCAAGUCGAACGGUAACAGGAAGCAGCUUGCUGCUUUGCUGACGAGUGGCGGACGGGUGAGUAAUGUCUGGGAAACUGCCUGAUGGAGGGGGAUAACUACUGGAAACGGUAGCUAAUACCGCAUAACGUCGCAAGACCAAAGAGGGGGACCUUCGGGCCUCUUGCCAUCGGAUGUGCCCAGAUAGGAUUAGCUAGUAGGUGGGGUAACGGCUCACCUAGGCGACGAUCCCUAGCUGGUCUGAGAGGAUGACCAGCCACACUGGAACUGAGACACGGUCCAGACUCCUACGGGAGGCAGCAGUGGGGAAUAUUGCACAAUGGGCGCAAGCCUGAUGCAGCCAUGCCGCGUGUAUGAAGAAGGCCUUCGGGUUGUAAAGUACUUUCAGCGGGGAGGAAGGGAGUAAAGUUAAUACCUUUGCUCAUUGACGUUACCCGCAGAAGAAGCACCGGCUAACUCCGUG